CUAUACCUAGGGAGGCAGCAGUGGGGAAUAUUGCACAAUGGGGGAAACCCUGAUGCAGCAACGCCGCGUGAGUGAGGAAGUAUUUCGGUAUGUAAAGCUCUAUCAGCAGGGAAUAGAAAAGAAGGUACCUGAAAAAGAAGCCCCGGCUAACUACGUGCCAGCAGCCGCGGUAAUACGCAGGGGGCAAGCGUUAUCCGGAUUUACUGGGUGUAAAGGGAGCGUAGACGGAAAGGCAAGUCAGAAGUGAAAGCCCAAGGCUCAACCAUGGGACUGCUUUUGAAACUGUCAAACUAGAGUACGGGAGA
RNAcentral lists this ribosomal RNA (305 nucleotides) under uncultured bacterium. Its description in RNAcentral is "bacterial SSU rRNA". It matches the Rfam family "Bacterial small subunit ribosomal RNA", at positions 333 to 655 of the family's 1533-position model. The record is from RNAcentral.